GUAUGCAAAUGGAAUAUAAAAGUAUAUUCACAUCGAACGUGAUCAUGUGUCGAGCACUUUGCUGUCAAGAGUAGCUCGUGAAGGGUAUGGGUAUAAGUGUCCCUCCGAUCUGAGACCACCAUGGUGACUUGUAAGCAACUCACUAUAUUUUAGUAUCAAACUAUCUAAGUUUCUAACUUAGUGAUGAAAAGAUACUGGGUGCACCUAAAUACUUAUCAAGUCGGUGUGUGAGUCAAGAUGGAAUUGAUCCUUCUGAAUUGGUAGGAGAUAUACAUCAAUGUAUUUCAAUUUAGCAAAAUCAUAGCCAGGAUAAUCCAUGAGAUAGAUUUGAAAGGU
RNAcentral lists this long non-coding RNA (336 nucleotides) under Elaeis guineensis (African oil palm). RNAcentral describes it as "long non-coding RNA (EGUI_LNC064843)". The record is from RNAcentral. Lineage: Eukaryota; Viridiplantae; Streptophyta; Magnoliopsida; Arecales; Arecaceae.